This 440-nucleotide ribosomal RNA is filed under the name uncultured bacterium. RNAcentral describes it as "partial 16S ribosomal RNA". It matches the Rfam family "Bacterial small subunit ribosomal RNA", at positions 338 to 795 of the family's 1533-position model. The record is from RNAcentral.
CCUACGGGUGGCAGCAGUGGGGAAUAUUGGACAAUGGGGGGAACCCUGAUCCAGCGACGCCGCGUGAGUGAAGAAGUAUUUCGGUAUGUAAAGCUCUAUCAGCAGGGGAGUAAAUGACGGUACCUGACUAAGAAGCCCCGGCUAACUACGUGCCAGCAGCCGCGGUAAUACGCAGGGGGCCAGCGUUAUCCGGAUUUACUGGGUGUAAAGGGAGCGUAGACGGUGCAGCAAGUCUGAUGUGAAAGGUCGGGGCCCAACCUCGGGACUGCAGUGGACACUGUUGAACUGGAGUACAGUAGAGGUAAGCGGAAUUCAUGGUGUAGCGGUGAAAUGCGUAGAUAUUAGGAGGAACACCGGUUGCGAAGGCAGCUUACUGGACUGUAACUGACGUUGAGGCUCGAAAGCGUGGGGAGCAAACAGGAUUAGAUACCCCAGUAGUC